ACGGCUCAGUAACACGUGGACAAUCUGCCCUUGGGUCUGGGAUAACUCCGGGAAACUGGAGAUAAUACCAGAUAGGUCAUAGAUGCUGGAAUGCUCUAUGGCCCAAAGCUCCGGCGCCCAAGGAUGAGUCUGCGGCCUAUCAGGUUGUAGUGGGCGUAAUGGACCCACUAGCCUACGACGGGUACGGGUUGUGAGAGCAAGAGCCCGGAGAUGGAUUCUGAGACAUGAAUCCAGGCCCUACGGGGCGCAGCAGGCGCGAAACCUUUACAAUGCGCGCAAGCGCGAUAAGGGGACCUCGAGUGUUCCUACCUAGUAGGAACUGUCCAGUUGUCUAAAAAACAACUGUUAGCAAGAGCCGGGCAAGACCGGUGCCAGCCGCCGCGGUAACACCGGCGGCUCGAGUGGUGACCGCUUUUAUUGGGUCUAAAGGGUCUGUAGCCGGUCUAACAAGUUCUUUUGAAAAUCUGGUCGCUUAACGAUCAGGCUGCUAGGGGAUACUGUUAAGCUUGGGACCGGGAGAGGCUAGAGGUACUUUAGGGGUAGGGGUGAAAUCCUGUGAUCCUUAAAGGACCACCAGUGGCGAAGGCGUCUAGCUAGAACGGAUCCGACGGUGAGGGACGAAAGCUGGGGGCACGAACCGGAUUAGAUACCCGGGUAGUCCCAGCCGUAAACGAUGCGAGCUAGGUGUCAGUUUUACUGCGAGUAAAAUUGGUGCCGUAGGGAAGCCGUGAAGCUCGCCACCUGGGAAGUACGGCCGCAAGGCUGAAACUUAAAGGAAUUGGCGGGGGAGCACUACAACGGGUGGAGCCUGCGGUUUAAUUGGAGUCAACGCCGGG
RNAcentral lists this ribosomal RNA (836 nucleotides) under uncultured archaeon. RNAcentral describes it as "bacterial SSU rRNA". It matches the Rfam family "Archaeal small subunit ribosomal RNA", at positions 85 to 922 of the family's 1478-position model. The record is from RNAcentral.